CACGUAGGGCGCAAGCGUUGUCCGGAAUUACUGGGCGUAAAGGGCUCGUAGGCGGCCAACUAAGUCCGACGUGAAAUCCCAAAGCUUAACUUUGGAACUGCGUCGGAUACUGGAUGGCUUGAAUUCGGGAGAGGGAUGCAGAAUUCCAGGUGUAGCGGUGAAAUGCGUAGAUAUCUGGAGGAAUACCGGUGGCGAAGGCGGCAUCCUGGACCGACAUUGACGCUGAUGAGCGAAAGCUAGGGGAGCAAACGGG
Molecule: ribosomal RNA, 253 nt
Filed under: uncultured bacterium
Lineage: Bacteria
Description: partial 16S ribosomal RNA
Rfam family: Bacterial small subunit ribosomal RNA
Source: RNAcentral